UCUCUCUGUGGAGAGAGAGGAGGGACCUGCCUCUAAAAGGUGUCUCUCUGGGAAGAGAGAGGAGGGACCUGCCUCUAAAAGGCAUCUCUCUGUGGAAGAAAAGGAGGGACCUGCCUCUAAAAUGAGUCUCUCUUGGGAGAGAGAGGAGGGACCUGCCUCUAAAAGGUGUCUCUCUGGGAAGAGAGAGGAGGGACCUGCCUCUAAAAGGCAUCUCUCUGGGGAGAGAGAGGAGGGGGCCCCUGCCUCUAAAAUGUGGCUCUCUGGGGAACAUGACACCAAAUCUAAGAGUCCAAUCAGGCAGGAGAGACCAGCCUCCCUGUUCCCAGCUGUGUGUCCAUGAAGAGUGACCGGUCUAUGGAUCCUCCUCUAUACUUUAGAGAGGGAGACUUUUCUACUGAACAAAGGUAAGAAGAACUCAUGGGUCCUGGUCAGUGAGUUAAACAACACUGUCUCUAGUCAUUUCUCCUCUCCCACUUUCCCAUUUAUUGUUGCUGUUUUCAUAAUCUGUAGGCUAAUCAUUUUGUCCAUUUUCAUAUUCCUAAAACAAUAUUAAACAAACUCCACAUUCCGUCUGUGUGUGUGUGUGUGUUCGUGCGGAUGUGUAUGUACUCCUCGGAUGAGGAGAUGUAAUCUCUAUCCUGAUUGUCUAGUCACUUUUAUACUUACCUACAUGUGCAUAUUACGUCAACUACCUGGUACCCUGCACAUUGACUCAG
Long non-coding RNA from Oncorhynchus tshawytscha (Chinook salmon), 716 nucleotides. Lineage: Eukaryota; Metazoa; Chordata; Actinopteri; Salmoniformes; Salmonidae. The record is from Ensembl.